CACGCUAUCCACACUCCUCAACCAGGUUUUCUUUUGUAGAGAGAGAAAGAGAGAACAAGAAAGGCAGAAAACCUCAUCCCCAAAUACCCAUUUCAUCGCCUCCCUUUUAGAUCUGAGACCUACAACGCUCUCUCCUUCAAAUUCAUGUCCGCCACCGCUACAAUAACCACCGCUGAAACCAGUUGCAACCAUCUUCCAUCGAUCUUGCCGCUAGGGUUCAACCAUUUCCCACCGCUGAAACAGUUGCAACCAUCUUCCAUGGAAAAAAAUGAUGUUCGUACCCCAAGCAUGUGUUGCUUCAGAUGUGAAGGAAUCGGUAGUUGGUGGUGUACAAACAAUGCAUAGAAUAGUAGAGGACAAGUUUCACGAUGGAUAUGUUAUGCAGGGAAAAUUUUACAUAUACGACUUUUGGAUGACGUUAUAAGCUCCAUCAAUGGAUGGUAUAUGGAGCGUGGCCUUUUUGGCUUGGUAUUUCCAGGGCUAGCUGUUUAAGGUUCAUAUAACCUUAUGAAUCUUGAAUGACUCAAUUUGGUUAAAGUCUAUCGGGAACAAGUUAGGAAUGGCGCCUUCGACUGAAGAACGGGCCGCUGAAGCCAAGUUUAACGAGGAUGGAAAUACAGGUUUGAAGAAUCAGGCUAAGUAAGAUGAUGAAGCAGUUGCAGUUGUUGAAGGGGGAUUGUGCGGUAUGCAAGUCUACAUGCUCAUCAUGGUAGGACAGGAAGCUAGAGGGAUGAUUUGGAUCCUUGCGUAUGUGGGGUAUGCAAGUGUACAUGCUCAACUUUACUUACCUCCAAAAUAUGGAUUGUACUUGAGUUUUGUUCCACCUCUUAUAUAUGCGUUCAUUGGUAGCUCGAGAGAUAUUGCAAUGGGCCCUGUGGCAGUGGUCUCUCUGUUGCUUGGAACUUUGUUACGAGAUGAGGUUGAGCCAAAUACACCUGAAUAUUUAUGUCUUGCUUUCACUGCAACAUUCUUUGCUGGAGUCACUCAAGCUGCACUCGGGUUUUUCAGAUUGGGUUUUCUGAUCGAUUUUCUGUCACAUGCUGCGAUUGUGGGGUUCAUGGGAGGAGUGGUCGUUACCAUUGCGCUUCAGCAACUUAAAGGGUUGUUAGGGAACAAGGAUUUAAAAAAAAAGACUGAUUUAGUUCAUGACCAACUUACUAAACUAAAACUUGUGUUCAUAAAAUAGAAAAUGGAAAAUAGAACUGACAAGACUAAAACUUGUGUUCAUAAAAUAGAAAAUGGAAAAUAGAACUGACAAGUGUGAAAACAUUAUUAUUUUAAAUUAUUUGGUUUUAUGUUAUUUGGAUUUUUUUUUUUUAAAUCAUACAUCAUAUUUUUUAAUAUAUUUUAAAUUUAACUUUUUUAAGCCCGUGUGUCACACGGGAUAUAAGCUAGUAGUAUAGAUAUAGAUAAACAAGGGCAAAACUGUAAAAGAAAGUUUACCAAUAUGACCGUUGGGAUGGGAGCUCUUUCCCCCUUUAAAUACAAACAAAUCCGUUGAAGAAUUUUGUUAUAAAAUAAAUCACGUUUCCAAACAAAGCAUAAAGAAAAUUGUACAGUUGAUUCAAAUCACAAACCACCAUUCGAUCCUUACAUACAAUCUCCUCUGUUUGUUUGAAGGUAUUCUUGUUCCUUCAAUCCCUAAUUUUAUUUACUCCCUUCUUUGUGUUUCAAUUACAGAUAUCGAUUUGUUCGUUUAAAACCCCUUUUUAUUUUAAUUUUUAGGGUUUUUUCUUCUCGUUUAUGGUGUAUGAUCUUGGUUUUGGUGUCGAGAUAUUGUCGUUCGAUUAAUUUUGAAGUUUGAAUUCAAGACGUAUGAUUGUUGAUUUUAACUGAAACAAAACCCUAGUUUCGUUAGGGUUUUGAAAUAUCAUAUUGUAAGUAAUUGAACAAAAUUGAGUCUAUAUGAUUUCAGAUGCGUGAAUGAUUUACCUCGAUGAAACUGAAUACAACAGACAUUCAGAUUUGAUUUAAAUCUUUGCCCAAAAUUAGUUAGUUAGGGUUUUUACUUAAUUUAUCAUAAAUAGCAUGUUGUAAUUUGUACAAACUGAAUCUUGAUCUUGAUAUUUCUCCCCUAAAUGAUUUAAGAUUUUGCUGGUAGUAUAAAACCCUAGUUCUUGAAAAAUCUUUUGAUAUAUGAAUUUGUUCUGUUAUGAAUAUUCCUUUUUUUUUUCACAAUUUGGGAGACUAAUACUCAUAAAUAUAUGAAUUUGGUUUCUUUUUGGCUUUGUGCAGACUCAAAAAAAUGGCAAUGCAUGCUAGCCGUUUGACUCAAGACGAGAAUCUCAAUGUACACUUUGAUGGGGUGGUCAAGAUCAAUGGGUCUAUUGCUCAAAAGAACAAAAGGGGUCCUGUUAAGCACUUGGUGACCUUACUAAUUCGGCUAUUAUACCGUCUUCUCAGAAAAAUGGUUUGAAAAAAAUGAGUCAAAGAAAGAAAGCAAUAGCUUUUGCUGAAAAUGAAAAGUUUCCGUACUCUAUUGCUGAAGAGGGUUUCAAUCACAAUCACGAUGAAUGUAUCAAACAACAGACGCAAUCAGUGGGAUUGAGUGAGUUCUUAAGUAGCCUUGGGUUUUAUGAAGAUGCUUGUUUUCAAUCUGUGUCACCGAAAGAAGUAAAGGAUGAAAGUGCUAUGAUGAUCUUUGAGGUGGAGGAGAUCCUCGAGCCGAUAUUUGAAGAUCGUGUUCAUGGUGGGAUGAUGUCCCCGAUCUUUGGAAGCCCGGGUUCUCCAAAGCUAUACGAUGAUGACGAUUUUCCUAGCUUUGCAAAAACUAUGUCCUAGUAGUUAAAGUUGAAUGGAUAGUCAAACUAUAUUGACUACUGUAGUUAAUAAAUAGAUAAAGAAGCUUGUUUUGUUGAUGAUGUUGGGUAGACUAAUCUUUAGUUUUUGCCAAACUUCAAGUGCCUUGGCUGUUUUGGUUGUUUUGUGUUUCCUUUGUACGUGUUCUUAUGGAUGUGGAACAACAUAAUAAUAAUAAUCAUCCUUAAAACC
Helianthus annuus (common sunflower) is the source of this 2991-nucleotide RNA transcript. It is a transcript of the gene named sulfate transporter 1.2-like, with no coding region annotated. Lineage: Eukaryota; Viridiplantae; Streptophyta; Magnoliopsida; Asterales; Asteraceae. The record is from RefSeq and is a predicted model, not a curated record. The transcript has 10 exons.